Arabidopsis lyrata subsp. lyrata is the source of this 310-nucleotide long non-coding RNA. RefSeq lists it as uncharacterized. The record is from RefSeq and is a predicted model, not a curated record. Lineage: Eukaryota; Viridiplantae; Streptophyta; Magnoliopsida; Brassicales; Brassicaceae. The transcript is spliced from 2 exons.
GGUCAUGACUGCUGGACGUCAACUAGCAAAAAGCUUGGAGUCACAUUCACUCAGUGACUUAGGCUUCUCCAAACGAUAUGUUCGGUGUUUGCAGGGGCUUGUUGCUGCCCUUUUCUACCCUAUCAAUGUCUCAAGACUCUGAAAGAAGAAAGAUGAAGAUGGAAAGGGGAGAGAGUUUGAGAUAUGAGUUUGUGCUUUUGUUUCUUUGUGUCUGUUUUUCAAAUAUUUUGUUCUUUAUAUAUGUUGGUAUAAUGUAAUAUGCAAAACUUGUUAUAAUAUUUCCAAUAAGAAAUAAAUGUUCUAUAGCAUC